GGAGGAAGGUGGGGACGACGUCAAGUCAUCAUGGCCCUUACGAGUAGGGCUACACACGUGCUACAAUGGCGCAUACAGAGGGCAGCCAACUCGCGAGAGUGAGCGAAUCCCAAAAAGUGCGUCGUAGUCCGGAUUGGAGUCUGCAACUCGACUCCAUGAAGUCGGAAUCGCUAGUAAUCGUAAAUCAAAAUGCUACGGUGAAUACGUUCCCGGGCCUUGUACACACCGCCCGU
Molecule: ribosomal RNA, 233 nt
Filed under: Vibrio sp.
Lineage: Bacteria; Pseudomonadati; Pseudomonadota; Gammaproteobacteria; Vibrionales; Vibrionaceae
Description: partial 16S ribosomal RNA
Rfam family: Bacterial small subunit ribosomal RNA
Source: RNAcentral